This 253-nucleotide ribosomal RNA is filed under the name uncultured bacterium. Its description in RNAcentral is "partial 16S ribosomal RNA". It matches the Rfam family "Bacterial small subunit ribosomal RNA", at positions 524 to 776 of the family's 1533-position model. The record is from RNAcentral.
CACGUAGGGGGCAAGCGUUGUCCGGAUUUAUUGGGCGUAAAGCGCACGUAGGCGGCUUUUUAAGUCAGGGGUGAAAUCCUGGAGCUCAACUCCAGAACUGCCUUUGAUACUGAGAAGCUUGAGUCCGGGAGAGGUGAGUGGAACUGCGAGUGUAGAGGUGAAAUUCGUAGAUAUUCGCAAGAACACCAGUGGCGAAGGCGGCUCACUGGCCCGGUACUGACGCUGAGGUGCGAAAGCGUGGGGAGCAAACAGG